Molecule: unclassified non-coding RNA, 240 nt
Filed under: fungal sp.
Lineage: Eukaryota; Fungi
Description: partial internal transcribed spacer region
Rfam family: Eukaryotic small subunit ribosomal RNA (bases 1-46)
Source: RNAcentral
AAGUCGUAACAAGGUUUCCGUAGGUGAACCUGCGGAAGGAUCAUUAACGAGUUCGAAAGUCGGUCGACCGUGCUGGCGGAGACGCAUGUGCACGUCGGUCGCGAACCAUCCACACACCGUGAACCUAUGGCCUGGGGUCUCGAGUUCAGAGCCCCGGGCAUCAUUUUUACACUCUGUUUGUAAAGGAAUGUCUUUAUAUCAUAAAACAUACAACUUUCAACAACGGAUCUCUUGGCUCUC